UGCAUCAGUGAUGAGAACUUGGCUCCCUCUUCUGAACUUGCUGAAGAGACUUGCCAUCUUGUUACCCAAUUUCUCGGAGAUGUU
Bufo bufo (common toad) is the source of this 84-nucleotide small nucleolar RNA. RefSeq annotates it as small nucleolar RNA SNORD100. The transcript has a single exon. NCBI's taxonomy places the organism in Eukaryota, Metazoa, Chordata, Amphibia, Anura, Bufonidae. The record is from RefSeq and is a predicted model, not a curated record.